UCUAUCCAGUAAGGCAUUCAGUUCCUAAAGGAUGUUCACUAGUGUGGAAGGGUUAAAGUUAAUACCUUUGCCCAUUGACGUUACUCGCAGAGGGGUACCGGCUAUCUCUGUGCCAGCACCGCCUAGAAUACGGGGGGUGCACGCGUUAAUUACAAUUUUGGGCGAAAGCGCACGCAGGCGGUUUUUAAGUCAGAUGUGAAAUCUCCGGGCUCACACUGGGAACUGCAUCGGAAACUGGCAAGCUUGAGUCUCAUAGAGGGGGGUAGAAUUCCAGUUGUAGCGGUGAAAUGUGUAGAGAUAUGGAGGAAUCCCGGUGGGGAAGGCGGCCCCCUGGACGAAGACUGACGCUCGGGUGCGAAAGCGUGGGGAGCGACAGGAUUAGAUACCCUGGUAGUCCACGCCGUA
RNAcentral lists this ribosomal RNA (405 nucleotides) under uncultured marine bacterium. RNAcentral describes it as "bacterial SSU rRNA". It matches the Rfam family "Bacterial small subunit ribosomal RNA", at positions 400 to 804 of the family's 1533-position model. The record is from RNAcentral.